Long non-coding RNA from Tachysurus vachellii, 1565 nucleotides. RefSeq lists it as uncharacterized. NCBI's taxonomy places the organism in Eukaryota, Metazoa, Chordata, Actinopteri, Siluriformes, Bagridae. The transcript has 3 exons. The record is from RefSeq and is a predicted model, not a curated record.
CAGGGGGCUCUAUCAAAUACCCAUAAGCCUACAUAAAUCAUAUAGAACGUUCAUCUUAUAUAUCAUAGUUUGUUUGUUUAGGAUAUCAUUAUUCCGAUUUUAACUUUAUUAUUUUUACAUCUGCACGAAUGCGCCCCCCCUUUUUGGAUUAUUUUGGAUCAUUCCAUUAGAACUGCGCAAUAAGCUGUUGGUCUUCGUUCAAGAAAAAGUUAAGAAGCGAGACGUCCUUUUCUGUGGCUGAGAUGAUCCGUAUUAAACACUUAACAUAACAAACAUGUAUGACAGAGGUACAGCAUAUGAGGAAGUAUGUGGAAGAGACCAUUGGGAACUUGAGAAGACCUUCUGAGUGUUGGAGGAUCGAGAAGCAGCUGGUUUUGUUGAGUCUAGAGGAGCAUGAAUCCAUUCUCCAGUACAAUGUGUCUCGCUCCAGUGACCCCAAUGCCAGAGCAGGCAUUGUUUCACCAGCCUGCACACCACCAUAUCUGUGAAGUGGUGGCAGAAGUCCUCAAACUCCAUCCUGGUGAAGGAAAGACACAAAGGUCUAGCAUAAAUUUGGAAUGUAUUCCCACUGUGUUUUCAGAGUACAAGCGUAAUGAAAUAUGUAAUUAUGUAGCAUUAUGUAAUCAGGUACAUCACAGAACAUUUUAUCCAGCCCUAUGUAUCUUGGUUGCUUCAAUGAUGUACAAGAAAUUAAUUCUUCAUGGUGAACUUGUUCAUUUUAGCAUUAAUAUAUCAUUAAUAUAGAGUAUGAGAGCAAUCAAACUGUGGUUCUGUGCAUGCUCACAUCACUGCUUUAGAGUUGCUGCGUUUUUGUGUGCACGCAUUCACUGCAUACAAUUCAAUUCAUUAGCUUGACAGUGUACACAAGACUUGCAUUACAUAGAAUCACAUGGUAUCUAAUGUUGGUUUUGGAGCAUUUGCUAUGAAUACAAGAAUGAAUAAGUGAGUACAUCAUCUGGCCCAAUUUCAUUAACACUAUCGAUGCAUCCCUUCUUUAAAUUUUAUUCAGUUCUGAAGAUUUUUCAAGAAUAAAACCAUUCGUUACCAAAAUUCUCCCACAUCUCUGACAAUCAGCCCCAUCUUCUCUCUCUCGCAGCGGCCCACCUUCUGCCAUUGCUGCGAGCUGCAGAUAUAUGCACAAUAUAAUUUAGAAUGAUUAAAAUAUUGACUCAAAAAUAAAUUGGUCAUACCAGCCUAAGGACUUUCAAAAAUAUGUAUAUAAACCAAAAAUAUAGGUGCAAUGUAUAACGCAUAUUACCCCUGGCUCCAGGCUCCAGUCCAGUCUGCUGUGCCCCACGGGUUCCUCAUGCGUAUCAUGUAGAGCCGGGAUGUUCCACAAACAGCCAGCAGAUUCUCCCCAACACGAAUCUUUUUAAGUGCAGUUACACCAUAUGCAUGGCCUUUCACUAAACCACAUUCCAGCACAGACUCGACCUGCUCUCCUUCUGCUGGCUGCACAGAAACAGACAUCAGGCAUGCAUAUGUCAUUAUAUAUUAAUUUAGAAUCCUUUAGAAAUAUGUUUGAUUUUUGCUGAAAGAGCUUUCUGUUUUUUUACCCGUAUGGA